GACGAACGCUGGCGGCGUGCUUAACACAUGCAAGUCGAACGGAAAGGCCCUGCUUGCCGGGUACUCGAGUGGCGAACGGGUGAGUAACACGUGGGUGAUCUGCCCUGCACUUCGGGAUAAGCCUGGGAAACUGGGUCUAAUACCGGAUAGGAGCCAUUUUUAGUGUGAUGGUUGGAAAGUUUUUUCGGUGUAGGAUGAGCUCGCGGCCUAUCGGCUUGUUGGUGGGGUAAUGGCCUACCAAGGCGGCGACGGGUAGCCGGCCUGAGAGGGUGGACGGCCACAUUGGGACUGAGAUACGGCCCAGACUCCUACGGGAGGCAGCAGUGGGGAAUAUUGCACAAUGGGCGCAAGCCUGAUGCAGCGACGCCGCGUGGGGGAUGACGGCCUUCGGGUUGUAAACUCCUUUCGCUAGGGACGAAGCUUUUUGUGACGGUACCUAGAUAAGAAGCACCGGCUAACUACGUG
This 465-nucleotide ribosomal RNA is filed under the name uncultured bacterium. Its description in RNAcentral is "partial 16S ribosomal RNA". It matches the Rfam family "Bacterial small subunit ribosomal RNA", at positions 28 to 507 of the family's 1533-position model. The record is from RNAcentral.